Molecule: non-coding RNA, 249 nt
Filed under: Acidovorax sp. Leaf160
Lineage: Bacteria; Pseudomonadati; Pseudomonadota; Betaproteobacteria; Burkholderiales; Comamonadaceae
Also listed under: 1 other name
Source: RNAcentral
CCUAUACUCACGCCCGUUGGUGCUCGCGAGGCCAUUGCGGCCGAGCAGUUAAACGGGAACCAGGAAGGGAGCGUCCGCCCAGGAACGCUCCCCAGCCUGGGCUGCCCCCGCAACGGUUCAGCGACGAAGACGGCACCGCCGGCUUCAUCCCUGCAUGGAACACACGCCCACUGAAAAGCCCCGCGCCUUUUGGGAAGGGCCCAUCGCAGCGUCGCCAGCCCGGAUACCGGCCGACAGGGGGCGUCGCAG